Molecule: RNA transcript, 4851 nt
Organism: Vanessa atalanta (red admiral)
Lineage: Eukaryota; Metazoa; Arthropoda; Insecta; Lepidoptera; Nymphalidae
Gene name: receptor-type guanylate cyclase Gyc76C-like
Exons: 25
Source: RefSeq, a predicted model, not a curated record
UCUGUGGUGUAUUCUGUAUUGGCAACAGUACAUUUUUGCGUUGCUCUUGCUCACGUUGAAUUUAUUGCGAGUACUUCUCUGUGCAGUUUGUCCUUUUGUUUGUAGUGGUCUACUUGAAUAUGUAAUUCUACAGUUUUAAGAUUUUACUUUCAACUUUCUAGUGUUAAAUAAAGUAAUUUCCGUAACUAACACCUACUUUAACAUCCCGUGUCAGGCACUUGUUAUUUGCUAACUAAACUAAGGAUUGAGUGUACAGCAAUUUCAAAUCAAUGUAUCAUUUGAGAUGUAAUUUUAGAUGUGUUUGGUGUUUGCAUUUUAUCAUUUAAGCAUUCGGUAGCUGUAGUAGUUGAGAACAUCUCACACAUCGAUGCCUAGUUCAGUAGAACUGUAGUGGUUAAUCCGGAUUCGCGAUCCACAUUUACUCAUUGUCAUCGUUGUGUUGCUUUAUGUUUUAACACAUUCAUACUGUUUUAUCGUGUUGGAGUAUUUUUAGAACUCGACUGUGGUAUUGAGUCUGAUGUCUCUGUAAACAUUAUACGAUUGUAAAUACUUACGCUGUUUUUAUUAUGAGUAAAUGAAUUAUUAAAGUGAGUUAUAAUUUGGAUGAAAAUUUCACCUGAAUGUGAUGAAAGUAACUUUGCUUAUGAAGUGGAAAAUUUUCAAGAGAAAUAAUAACAUAUUUAUGGUGCUAGUACCGCGGUGAAGGCGACGGCAUGUGGCACGGUGCGCGAGUGCUCCUACUCGCGGCGCUGGGGCUACUGGCCGGGCCUUCGGUCGCCGCACCCGCUAAAAAGUACAACCUUACCAUCGGAUACCUACCCUCCAUUAAAGGCGAGCACAGAGACAGACAGGGUCUCGCCAUCUCUGGGGCCCUUUCUAUGGCCCUCGAGGAGAUCAACAAUGGCACAGAUUUGCUACCCGACGUGCGACUGCUGCUGGAAUGGAAAGAUACGAAGUGCGACACGGUGACGGCCACGCGUCUGCUCACCGACAUGAGCUGUUCUGGAGUCGUCGCCUUCUUCGGCCCUGAGGGUCGCUGCCACACCGAGGCCAUCAUAGCCCAGUCUAGGAACUUACCAAUGAUAUCUUAUAAAUGUUCGGAUUACCAAACUUCAACGUUGUCGAACUUCGCAAGAUUGGAACCUCCGGAUACGCAGGCGACCAAAUCUGUCAUAUCGUUGCUUCGAUACUACAGAUGGAAUAAGUUCUCGAUCCUAUAUGAGGAGUCGUGGGUGACGGUGGCGUUGACGUUAGAGAACCACGCGAAGAAGAAUAACAUGACCGUGAACCAUCAGCGACCGGUCAUCGACGGUUUCAAGUGCUGCGAGGAGAAGAUGACUUGCUGCGCUCCUGGCUUCUGGUACCAGUUCAUACAGGACACUAAGAACAGGACUCGAAUAUAUGUGUUCUUGGGUUCAACCGCUGGCCUAAUAGAUAUGAUGACAGCCAUGGAAUCGUUGCAAUUAUUUGUGAAGGGAGAGUACAUGGUCAUAUUCGUCGACAUGAUGACUUACUCGCCGAAGGAGUCUUUAAAAUAUUUGAUAAAGACGGAGGACCGCGCGUCGAAGCUGGUGUGCCCCAACACGGCGGAGUUCCGCAAGCGCGCGCAGUCGCUGCUCGUCGUCGUGUCGUCGGAGCCCGAGGGCAGCUACGAGUACUUCACGGGCAAGGUGCGCGUCUACAACAGCAUGAAGCCCUUCGAGUUCCCGCUGCCCGCCGUCUUCGAGAAUAGGUUCAACAAGUUCGUGUCGAUAUAUGCCGCGUAUCUGUAUGAUUCUGUGAAGCUCUACGCGACCGCUCUACACAGUCUCAUAGAGGAGGAAACAACACAGAAAAAUGAAACUAUUACUUACCAAAAAUUAAUGAGCAUCGCUACCAGUGGAUCUGUUAUUGUUUCCAAAAUGAUUCGUAUAACUCCUUUUAAAAGUGUAUCUGGUAUGUCGAUUCGUUUGGACGAACGAGCAGACUCCGAGGGUAACUUCUCCGUGCUCGCCUUCAAACCCGCCAACUUCACGGAUGAUGACGUCAACUGCACAUACAGCAUGAUACCCGUCGGACACUUCCAACAGAGCAGUCGUGAAUUUCCCGAAUAUAAAUUAAAUCCCCGCCUGCCAAUCGACUGGCCGGAUAGCGUUAAGCCUGAAGACGAACCGUCAUGUGGUUUCCUUAAUGAAAAAUGUCCGAAGGAUGACUCACAGAUAACGUCCCUGGUAGUCGCGGGGACAUUAGCUGUGACAUUAUUCUGUGCCCUCGUAGUUACUAUAAGCAUUUAUAGAAAGUGGAAAAUAGAACAAGAGAUAGAAGGAUUAUUGUGGAAAAUAGACCAGCAAGAAAUAGCCGGCUACUUAGGUAGCGGUCUUAUGUUGUCGCCCAGUAAGUUAAGUUUAGCCAGUGGGAUAUCUUGUGAGAGCAGAUGUUGCACACAAAUAUUUACGACGACGGCGCAGUACAAGGGAAACGUAGUGAGAAUAAAGGAAUUGAAAUUCACUAAAAAGAAAGACAUAUCGCGCGACGUGAUGAAGGAGAUGCGCCUGCUGCGCGAGCUGCGCCACGACAACCUCAACUCCUUCAUCGGCGCCGUCAUCGAGCCGCUGCGCGUGCUGCUCAUCACCGACUACUGCGCCAAGGGGAGCUUGUAUGAUAUAAUUGAAAACGAAGAUAUAAAGCUGGAUAAGAUGUUUAUAUCUUCUCUGGUGCACGAUCUCAUCAAGGGUAUGAGUUUUAUUCACUCAUCGCCAUUAAUCUUCCACGGAAAUCUCAAGUCUUCGAAUUGCGUCGUCACAUCGAGGUGGAUGCUUCAGGUAACUGAUUUUGGACUCCACGAAUUAAGAUAUUGCGCUGAAAAUGAUUUCAUCGGGGAGCAUCAAUAUUAUAGAGGCUUAUUAUGGAAAUCGCCAGAGUUACUGCGACAGUUAGAUGAUCCAAACGGUACCGUCGGAGGAACGCAGAAAGGUGACGUUUAUGCUUUUGGCAUAAUUCUGUACGAAAUCAUCGCCCGACGAGGACCCUUCGGCGCGACCACUCUGGAGCCUAAAGACAUCGUGGAGCGCGUGAAGCGGCCGCGGCGCGAGGGCGAGGAGGCGUUCCGGCCCGACACGCGCGCGCUGGACGCCGACGACUACGUGCUGGCCUGCAUGCGCGACUGCUGGGCCGACGACCCCGCCGUGCGCCCCGACUUCCCCGCGCUGCGCACCCGCCUCAAGAAGAUGAAGUCCGGCAAAUCUAGAAAUAUUAUGGAUCAAAUGAUGGAUAUGAUGGAGAAGUACGCUAAUAAUUUAGAAGAACUAGUCAAUGAGAGAACGAGGCUACUGAUAGAAGAGAAGCAGAAGACCGAAGACUUGCUCCACAGAAUGCUACCAAAAUCAGUCGCUCGUCGGCUGACGACGGGCGAGGGCGUCGAGCCGGAGUCGUUCGACUCCGUCACGAUCUACUUCAGCGACAUCGUCGGCUUCACCGCCAUGUCCGCGGAGAGCACGCCGCUGCAGGUCGUCAACUUCCUUAACGACCUGUACACCGUGUUCGAUAGGAUCAUACGAGGCUACGACGUGUACAAGGUUGAAACCAUCGGUGAUGCUUAUAUGGUGGUGUCGGGCCUACCGAUAAGAAAUAACGAUAGACACGUAGGAGAAAUCGCAUCAAUGGCGCUGGAACUGCUAAAUGCUGUCAAGAGUCAUAAGAUAUCUCACAGACCGAACGAAGUUUUAAAGUUAAGGAUAGGGAUACACACAGGCGCGGUGGUGGCGGGCGUGGUGGGGCUGACCAUGCCGCGCUACUGCCUGUUCGGCGACACCGUGAACACGGCCUCGCGCAUGGAGUCCAACGGGGAGCCGCUGCGCAUACACAUCUCGCCGAGCUGCAAGCAGGCGCUCGACAAGCUGGGCGGGUACGUCGUGGAGCCGCGCGGGACUAUUCCCAUCAAGGGAAAAGGACAGCUCCAAACGUACUGGUUAGUCGGUGCGACGGAGAAGGCAAUACAGAAGAGGCCGGUAGAAGGGGAGGAACGCCCUCUGUUCUGUCGGCCCAGGAGAAGUCCUCGCUUGACGGAUUCCAGACAUCCCUCUAUUUCGGAGCUGCGAGGCGAGGCCCGCGUGCGCCAGCGCCUGCACAGCGGCGCGUCGCUGCCGCCGUCCGCGUCGCCCGCCGCGCGCCGCGCCGCGCUCGCGCCCACCUCCAGACGCGCACUGAGCUCGAUCGCGUCGUCGACGGCGUGCUCGGGCGCGGGCGAGGCGGGCGCGGCGCUGCGGCCGGCGCGCUCGCUGGACGUGCUGUCGGCGCGCGGCCGCCUGCGCCGCCACCACACCACGCGCUCGCUGGACGUGGAGGUGGCCAUCGCGACCGUCUCCUCCUCGCUCUUCAACGGCAACGCGUUCGGCCUGCCCGACGACCCGCCGCGCGCCGACGAGGACAGUCCGCUGCUGCGCAAGGCGAGCCUGUGUAACAAGCUGGACCGGCCGAAGCGCAAGGUACCCGACUCGGACUACAUCGAGUUCUACAAGAAGUGGCGCUCGCUGGAGAACGUGGCCGACGCGAAGAGCGGCGCCAAGAUGCCUCGCUUCGCGAUCCGCUCGUGGCUGCUGGGCAUCUUCGGCGGCGGCGCACGCAGCACGUCGUCGUCGCUGCGCCGCGCGCCGCACCUGCUCGACCGCGAGUCCGCCGUCUGAGCGCCGAACUUCCCCUCUAAGUGUAUAUUGCGCUAUAUGUAUAUGAAAUGCUGUUGUAAAUAAUAUGUAUCACAUUAACACUACCGAACGCCUAUUUGACGGCGUCACGUAAACGCGAAGCUUCCGCGUUCCCCGCAUCGGUAGAAGGCGCCCAGACUCGACCGAGUCGCGCUCGGCUCCGCACCGGUCC